GUCUGAUACCAUGUGAUUACAUGAAACCAUAGGUCUGAUACCAUAGGUCUGAUACCAUGUGAUUAUAUGAAACCAUAGGUCUGAUACCAUGUGAUUAUAUGAAACCAUAGGUCUGAUACCAUGUGACUGUAUGAAACCAUAGGUCUGAUACCAUGUGACUGUAUGAAACCAUAGGUCUGAUACCAUGUGACUGUAUGAAACCAUAGGUCUGAUACCAUAGGUCUGAUACCAUGUGAUUAUAUGAAACCAUAGGUCUGAUACCAUAGGUCUGAUACCAUGUGAUUAUAUGAAACCAUAGGUCUGAUACCAUGUGAUUAUAUGAAACCAUAGGUCUGAUACCAUGUGACUG
Molecule: long non-coding RNA, 349 nt
Organism: Oncorhynchus tshawytscha (Chinook salmon)
Lineage: Eukaryota; Metazoa; Chordata; Actinopteri; Salmoniformes; Salmonidae
Source: Ensembl